AUGAAUCAGAGAAGAUCGUCAACUAGCAGAUUACCUUUUUGGUAACAUUUUGAAAGUGAAGGCCCCACUUUUGGCUUACAACAGUUUCAUAGAAGCAAUUUAUGUUUUGAAUGACUAUCGUGCUCAUUCUGGACAUAGCGAUUCGAAGGCAUCACGAGCUGAAAGUCGACCAUUCUCCAUCCGAGGCAAUGAUGAAAGGUCGAGUCCAGGAG
Cucumis sativus (cucumber) is the source of this 212-nucleotide long non-coding RNA. RefSeq lists it as uncharacterized. The transcript is spliced from 3 exons. Lineage: Eukaryota; Viridiplantae; Streptophyta; Magnoliopsida; Cucurbitales; Cucurbitaceae. The record is from RefSeq and is a predicted model, not a curated record.